RNAcentral lists this signal recognition particle RNA (286 nucleotides) under Saimiri boliviensis boliviensis (Bolivian squirrel monkey). RNAcentral's name for it is "Metazoan signal recognition particle RNA (ENSSBOG00000003545.1)". It matches the Rfam family "Metazoan signal recognition particle RNA". Rfam says of the family: The signal recognition particle (SRP) is a universally conserved ribonucleoprotein. Lineage: Eukaryota; Metazoa; Chordata; Mammalia; Primates; Cebidae. The record is from RNAcentral.
GCCGGGCAUGGUGGCGCGUGCCUGUAGUCCCAGCUACUCUGGAGGCUAAGGCUGGAGGAUUGCUUGAGCCCAGGAGUUCUGGGCUGUAGUGCGCUAUGCUGAUCGGGUGUCUGCACUAAGUUUGGCAUCAAUAUGGUGACUUCCUGGAAGUGGGUACCACCAGGUUGCCUAAGGAAGGGGUGAACCAGCCCACGUCGGAAUCAGAGCCAUGCUGAUCAGUAGUGGGAUAGGGCCUGUGAAUAGCCACUGCACUCCAGCCUGGGCAACAUAGUGAGACCCUGUCUCU